This 231-nucleotide ribosomal RNA is filed under the name Klebsiella pneumoniae. RNAcentral's name for it is "partial 23S ribosomal RNA". It matches the Rfam family "Bacterial large subunit ribosomal RNA", at positions 2098 to 2328 of the family's 2925-position model. The record is from RNAcentral. Lineage: Bacteria; Pseudomonadati; Pseudomonadota; Gammaproteobacteria; Enterobacterales; Enterobacteriaceae.
CCUUUACUAUAGCUUGACACUGAACAUUGAGCCUUGAUGUGUAGGAUAGGUGGGAGGCUUUGAAGCGUGGACGCCAGUCUGCGUGGAGCCAACCUUGAAAUACCACCCUUUAAUGUUUGAUGUUCUAACGUUGGCCCCUGACCGGGGUUGCGGACAGUGUCUGGUGGGUAGUUUGACUGGGGCGGUCUCCUCCCAAAGCGUAACGGAGGAGCACGAAGGUUAGCUAAUCCU